GAUGAACGCUGGCGGCGUGCUUAACACAUGCAAGUCGAGCGAAGCACUUAUGAUUGAAUUUUUCGGAAUGAUUUCAUUUGUGACUGAGCGGCGGACGGGUGAGUAACGCGUGGGUAACCUGCCUCAUACAGGGGGAUAACAGUUAGAAAUGACUGCUAAUACCGCAUAAGCGCACAGUACUGCAUGGUACAGUGUGAAAAACUCCGGUGGUAUGAGAGGGACCCGCGUUUGAUUAGCUAGUUGGUGAGGUAACGGCCCACCAAGGCGACGAUCAAUAGCCGACCUGAGAGGGUGACCGGCCACAUUGGGACUGAGACACGGCCCAAACUCCUACGGGAGGCAGCAGUGGGGAAUAUUGCACAAUGGGGGAAACCCUGAUGCAGCAACGCCGCGUGAGUGAAGAAGUAUUUCGGUAUGUAAAGCUCUAUCAGCAGGGAAGAAAAUGACGGUACCUGACUAAGAAGCCCCGGCUAACUACGUGCCAGCCGCCGCGGUAA
This 497-nucleotide ribosomal RNA is filed under the name uncultured bacterium. RNAcentral describes it as "partial 16S ribosomal RNA". It matches the Rfam family "Bacterial small subunit ribosomal RNA", at positions 28 to 523 of the family's 1533-position model. The record is from RNAcentral.